This 253-nucleotide ribosomal RNA is filed under the name uncultured bacterium. RNAcentral's name for it is "partial 16S ribosomal RNA". It matches the Rfam family "Bacterial small subunit ribosomal RNA", at positions 524 to 776 of the family's 1533-position model. The record is from RNAcentral.
UACGUAGGGGGCAAGCGUUGUCCGGAUUUAUUGGGCGUAAAGAGCGUGUAGGCGGCCAUACAGGUCAGCUGUGAAAACUCGAGGCUCAACCUCGAGACGUCGGUUGAAACCGUAUGGCUAGAGUCCGGAAGAGGAGACUGGAAUUCCUGGUGUAGCGGUGAAAUGCGCAGAUAUCAGGAGGAACACCGGUGGCGAAGGCGGGUCUCUGGGCCGAUACUGACGCUGAGGAGCGAAAGCGUGGGGAGCGAACAGG